RNAcentral lists this transfer RNA (75 nucleotides) under Pupilla muscorum. RNAcentral describes it as "tRNA-Ser". The record is from RNAcentral. Lineage: Eukaryota; Metazoa; Mollusca; Gastropoda; Stylommatophora; Pupillidae.
AAAAAUAUAUCUUAUUAAAAGGAUUAUAAUUAGGGCUGCUAACUUUGAUUUGGGGACAUUCUCCUCCUUUUUUUG